Gorilla gorilla gorilla (western lowland gorilla) is the source of this 72-nucleotide microRNA precursor. The record is from Ensembl. NCBI's taxonomy places the organism in Eukaryota, Metazoa, Chordata, Mammalia, Primates, Hominidae.
GGCAGUGUUUAGGCCACAGCCACCCAUGUGUAGGGGUGGCUACACAUGGGUGGCUGUAGCCUAAACACUGCC